This 597-nucleotide ribosomal RNA is filed under the name Triticum aestivum (bread wheat). Its description in RNAcentral is "partial small subunit ribosomal RNA". The record is from RNAcentral. Lineage: Eukaryota; Viridiplantae; Streptophyta; Magnoliopsida; Poales; Poaceae.
AUGCAGAUGGUAUCCUCGGGUCGCACCGCGGUGAACAUUAAUGGGGAGAUCGACCCAUUCUUCCCCACAUUUUGUGGGGUGCGCCAGGGUGAUCCUUUCUCCCUGUUCCUGUUUAACAUGGUUGUCGAUGCUCUAGCAACCAUCCUAGAUAAAGCCAAGGCUGCGGGUCACAUUAAGGGUAUAGUCCCGCAUCUUGUUGGGGGAAACAGGAUCUCCCUUCCCCAAUAUGUGGAUGACACUAUUAUCAUUGUGGAAGGCUCGACGAGUGAUAUCACGAACCUCAAGUUCCUUUUGCUGUGCUUCCAGCAGAUGUCUGUCCUUAGGAUCAACUUUGACAAGAGUGAGGUGACGGUUUUGGGCUACUCCCAAGAUGAGCGAGAGAGCAGAGCGGAUCGGCUUAACUGCAGCUCGGGUGCUUCCCCACGACUUAUCUGGGGAUACCCAUUAGUGACUCCAGGCUCACGGUGGCCGAGCUUCGCCCCAUGGUGGGGAAGCUCCAGCACCGUAUCGAGCCCUGGCAGGGUCGAUGGCUCUCGAAAGCGGCCCGUAUGGUGCUCAUUAACUCAUCCCUCUCCAGCCUACCCUUAUUCAUCAUGA